Molecule: ribosomal RNA, 497 nt
Filed under: uncultured bacterium
Lineage: Bacteria
Description: partial 16S ribosomal RNA
Rfam family: Bacterial small subunit ribosomal RNA
Source: RNAcentral
GACGAACGCUGGCGGCGUGCCUAAUACAUGCAAGUAGAACGCUGAAGAGAGGAGCUUACUCUUCUUGGAUGAGUUGCGAACGGGUGAGUAACGCGUAGGUAACCUGCCUUGUAGCGGGGGACAACUAUUGGAAACGAUAGCUAAUACCGCAUAACAAUGGAUGACACAUGUCAUUUAUUUGAAAGGGGCAAUUGCUCCACUACAAGAUGGACCUGCGUUGUAUUAGCUAGUAGGUGAGGUAAUGGCUCACCUAGGCGACGAUACAUAGCCGACCUGAGAGGGUGAUCGGCCACACUGGGACUGAGACACGGCCCAGACUCCUACGGGAGGCAGCAGUAGGGAAUCUUCGGCAAUGGGGGCAACCCUGACCGAGCAACGCCGCGUGAGUGAAGAAGGUUGUCGGAUCGUAAAGCUCGGUUGUAAGUCAAGAACGGGUGUGAGAGUGGAAAGUUCACACUGUGACGGUAGCUUACCAGAAAGGGACGGCUAACUACGUG